ACAGAGAGCUUGCUCUCGGGUGACGAGUGGCGGACGGGUGAGUAAUGUCUGGGAAACUGCCUGAUGGAGGGGGAUAACUACUGGAAACGGUAGCUAAUACCGCAUAACGUCGCAAGACCAAAGAGGGGGACCUUCGGGCCUCUUGCCAUCAGAUGUGCCCAGAUGGGAUUAGCUAGUAGGUGGGGUAACGGCUCACCUAGGCGACGAUCCCUAGCUGGUCUGAGAGGAUGACCAGCCACACUGGAACUGAGACACGGUCCAGACUCCUACGGGAGGCAGCAGUGGGGAAUAUUGCACAAUGGGCGCAAGCCUGAUGCAGCCAUGCCGCGUGUAUGAAGAAGGCCUUCGGGUUGUAAAGUACUUUCAGCGGGGAGGAAGGGAGUAAGGUUAAUAACCUUAUUCAUUGACGUUACCCGCAGAAGAAGC
RNAcentral lists this ribosomal RNA (426 nucleotides) under Klebsiella oxytoca. RNAcentral's name for it is "bacterial SSU rRNA". It matches the Rfam family "Bacterial small subunit ribosomal RNA", at positions 71 to 491 of the family's 1533-position model. Lineage: Bacteria; Pseudomonadati; Pseudomonadota; Gammaproteobacteria; Enterobacterales; Enterobacteriaceae. The record is from RNAcentral.